UGCAAAAUUUUUCUAUGACUUACUCAAAACUUUUUCAAUUAACAAAUAAUGUUAAAACGAUUUUACUCAAUAAUGUUAAACAAACAUAUUGUACUACGAUUUACUAAAAUAUUUUGUUCUUCACAAUAAACACUAGAAUAAUGUUUUCUUGUAAUUCUUUUUCUACGAUUUAAAAGAAAGUUAACCUUAUGUAUUACGAUAUCGAGAAUUUUAGACAAAUCUUCUGCCGAAGCUUCAAUCGCAAAUUUUCAAUUGUGUGAUUGAAUUAAGAGGGGAGGUGUCACAUGCCACGUGUGUGACCUUUAAGUAACCUUAGACCAGACCUGUUAACAAGCAAACUUGACAAACACCCAUCGAUGAGCAAUCUUUUUACAACCCUAUUACGUCGAUACACGGAUGUGAUCUGGGUAUAUAAGGCCCUAAAUUUGGAUCCAAAAAUCAGUAUCUAAUUUAAAUCAAAGCGAUCGACAUCAUCUCUGUACCAGUAGUCAGUGCGAAUCUAUACUCGUAACCUACGAAAAUCCCAGUUCAAGUAAUACCCAUCUCGUGAGUUGGAAAGGCGGUGCAUCUCAGCUGACUGUGGACGCACGAGCGGAGAACGGGUUUCCAGCUUCGAAUAGAAGCAAUAAAGGUGUUUAUUGGAAAAGGUCUUCUCUCGGCAAGAUAAAAAUAACGAACUUCAAGAAAUCAUUAUAUAAAUUUAUAUAAUAAAUUUUAUUUAACUAA
This is a long non-coding RNA of Leptopilina heterotoma, 726 nucleotides long. RefSeq lists it as uncharacterized. The record is from RefSeq and is a predicted model, not a curated record. The transcript is spliced from 2 exons. Lineage: Eukaryota; Metazoa; Arthropoda; Insecta; Hymenoptera; Figitidae.